GGAUGGCUCAACAGUAAAGCGUCAGGCUAACAAACUGACGCUUGCCGGUUCUACUCCGGUAGAGAUCCA
Molecule: non-coding RNA, 69 nt
Organism: Ancylostoma ceylanicum
Lineage: Eukaryota; Metazoa; Nematoda; Chromadorea; Rhabditida; Ancylostomatidae
Source: Rfam